This 253-nucleotide ribosomal RNA is filed under the name uncultured bacterium. RNAcentral describes it as "partial 16S ribosomal RNA". It matches the Rfam family "Bacterial small subunit ribosomal RNA", at positions 524 to 776 of the family's 1533-position model. The record is from RNAcentral.
UACAGAGGUGGCAAGCGUUGUUCGGAAUUACUGGGCGUAAAGGGCGCGUAGGCGGUCCGAUAAGUCCCGUGUGAAAUCCCUCGGCUCAACUGAGGAACCGCACGGGGAACUGCCGGGCUUGAGUUCGGGAGAGGGAAGCGGAAUUCCGGGUGUAGCGGUGAAAUGCGUAGAUAUCCGGAGGAACACCGGUGGCGAAGGCGGCUUCCUGGACCGACACUGACGCUGAGGCGCGAAAGCGUGGGGAGCGAACAGG